RNAcentral lists this ribosomal RNA (228 nucleotides) under Allolobophora hrabei. RNAcentral describes it as "partial small subunit ribosomal RNA". The record is from RNAcentral. Lineage: Eukaryota; Metazoa; Annelida; Clitellata; Crassiclitellata; Lumbricidae.
GUAAGUAUACCCCUAAAGGUGUCAAGUAUACAUAUAUGACUAAAUCAUUCACGUCAGGUCAAAGUGCAGCCAAUGAUAGGGUGAUGAUGGGUUACACCCCCAACAAAGACACAGAUUAAAGCACUAAGAGCCUUAUGAAGAUGGACUUGGAAGUAAUUAAAAUCCAAUAUUAUAAUAAACAAUGAUCUAAGACGUGCACACAUCGCCCGUCACUCUCGCCUAAAGGCG